GGGGAUGAAAAGGUUUCGACAGGGGAGGCUGGGCUGGGACUGCAAGCCGAGGCGCCUGGACCUCGUAAAAACCGGGCAAAACCAAAAGUGCCAAACAGCGCACUCAACCGGCUCUCGCCCUCGCUGCCUAAGCGAUGGGGCGAUAGCCUGACCGCAUGACGGUCACGUCCGCCCUUUUCCGCCUCCGGGGGAAAGAUCGGCGGGCGACAGAAAACCGGGGGUGCAAGCCUGCCGACGCCGAUACGCAGGUCCACAGGCGGGGCAGCACCCCGCAUCGGCUGGUCUGAUCAGCAGCCUGUUGGCCGGCGGCUGGUCAGGCGAGAAAUCAAAAGGUCAACUAAGCUUGUAGAUGUCCCUGUCCGAAUCUUCUGGACGCGGGUUCGACUCCCGCCAUCUCCACCA
Molecule: transfer-messenger RNA, 402 nt
Filed under: Anaerolineae bacterium
Lineage: Bacteria; Bacillati; Chloroflexota; Anaerolineae
Rfam family: transfer-messenger RNA
About the family: Bacterial tmRNA, also known as 10Sa RNA or SsrA, is named for its dual tRNA and mRNA-like properties. Its role is to liberate the mRNA from a stalled ribosome.
Source: RNAcentral